ACUCGCCCGCCCCGCCAGGCCCGCGCCUGAGGGGACGGACUCCCGCCCGCCCUCACACCGCGCCUCACGCCAGGCCCCCGGGGCUUCGGGUAAAUCCUGCCUCUGGAAUGCAGAGUGAUGGAUGCUGUCCACCUCAAAAGACGUCAGAAGCUUCAAGGAAGAUGUCCUAGGGGGACUGUGCUGUGAAACAGACGAAGCAGUGAAGAAGAGUUCUUGCUAUGGAGUACCCAUGGACACUGUCGCCCCUGAUGUCCGUAAGCUAGUGUGGUUCUCAAGCACUACCUUGUCGGCUGAGGGAGGGUGCCCCCCUGUGAUGGGAGAGAGGCUGAGGGCUGCACCGGCUGCUGCGAUGAUGCUUGUUGCUGCAUGCGAUCCUGAAGGCUUCGUG
RNAcentral lists this long non-coding RNA (388 nucleotides) under Mus pahari (shrew mouse). RNAcentral describes it as "RIKEN cDNA 1810062O18 gene (MGP_PahariEiJ_G0003887.1)". The record is from RNAcentral. Lineage: Eukaryota; Metazoa; Chordata; Mammalia; Rodentia; Muridae.